This 61-nucleotide transfer RNA is filed under the name Brugia malayi. RNAcentral's name for it is "tRNA-Met". Lineage: Eukaryota; Metazoa; Nematoda; Chromadorea; Rhabditida; Onchocercidae. The record is from RNAcentral.
AAAUAUGGUAGGAUAAUUUUUAAGUCUGUGAGAUUCAUAUUUUCGAGGUUUACCGUAUUUA